Molecule: ribosomal RNA, 1333 nt
Filed under: Risoba prominens
Lineage: Eukaryota; Metazoa; Arthropoda; Insecta; Lepidoptera; Nolidae
Description: 16S ribosomal RNA
Rfam family: Eukaryotic large subunit ribosomal RNA (bases 1073-1232)
Source: RNAcentral
GGGGGAAAAAUUAAAUAAAAAUAAAUAAAAAAAAAAUUUUUAAUAUAUUAAGGGGGGUUUUAGUAUAUUUAUAAAAAAAAUUUUUUAAUUUAUAGUUUAAUAGUAUUGUAAAAGAAUUUUGAAAUAAUUAAAAAAAAAAUUUAAUUAAAAGUAAUUUUAAUUUAGUGUAUCUUGUGUAUCAGAGUUUAUUAAAAAUUUUUAUAUGAAAAAUAAAUUCUCGAAUUUAAAAGAGAUAAUUAAUUAUAAAAGUUAUUGUUGCAUAAAUAUUUUUAAUAAUUAAUUUGAAAUGAAAUGUUAAUCGUUUUUAAAUAUAUCUAGUUUUUUUAGAAAAAAAUUUAAUUUUAAAUUAAUUAUUAAAAAUUUAUUAAAUAAUUAAUAAAUUUUUAUUUUUAAUUUUAUAUUUUAAGGGAUAAGCUUUAAAUUAAAUUUAUAUAAAAUUAUUUUUAAAUAAAUUUUGAAAUUUAUAUAAAUUAUAUUUUUAAUUAAUUUUAGUUUAUUAUAAAUAAUUUCAUUAAAAAUAAAAUUUAAUUUAUUUUUAUUUAGUUAUAAAAAAAUAUUUUUUAAUUAAUAAAAAUUAGUUAUAAUGAUAAAAUUAGUAUAUAAUUUAAAUAAAAUUUUUAUUAUUUAUGAAAAUUAGUUAAAAUUAAUUCGGCAAAUAUUUAUAUUCACUUGUUUAUCAAAAACAUGUCUUUUUGUAAAUAAUAUAAAGUCUAAUCUGCCCACUGAUUUUAUAUUAAAGGGCUGCAGUAUUUUGACUGUACAAAGGUAGCAUAAUCAUUAGUCAUUUAAUUGAUGACUUGUAUGAAAGAUUGGAUGAAAUAUAAACUGUCUCUUAUUUAUAUUAUAAAAUUUAAUUUUUUAAUUAAAAAGUUAAAAUAAAUUAAAAAGACGAGAAGACCCUAUAGAGUUUUAUAAAAAAAUUAAUUAUAAUUAUUUAUAAAUUUAAUAUAAAAAUUAAUUUUUUUAUUUUGUUGGGGUGAUAAAAAAAUAUAAAAAACUUUUUUUAUAAUAUAACAUAAAUAAAUGAAUAUUUGAUCCAAUAUUAUUGAUUAUAAGAAAAAAUUACCUUAGGGAUAACAGCGUAAUUUUUUUUUUUAGUUCAUAUAAGAAAAAGAGUUUGCGACCUCGAUGUUGGAUUAAGAUAAAAUUUAAAUGCAGAAGUUUAAAAAUUUUGAUCUGUUCGAUCAUUAAAAUCUUACAUGAUCUGAGUUCAAACCGGUGUAAGCCAGGUUGGUUUCUAUCUUUUAAUAAUAAAAAUAUUUUAGUACGAAAGGAUUAAAUAUUUAAAUUAAAUUUAUUUAAAUGAAUGAAUAUUAAUAAUUUAGAGAUAAAU